This 12745-nucleotide long non-coding RNA is filed under the name Triticum aestivum (bread wheat). Its description in RNAcentral is "long non-coding RNA (TAES_LNC005923)". The record is from RNAcentral. Lineage: Eukaryota; Viridiplantae; Streptophyta; Magnoliopsida; Poales; Poaceae.
GGAGUGCAGCGGCCCCGUAGAAGAAGAAAAAAAACAUUCUUCCAAGAAUCUGGAUGUUUUUUUCUUGUUCGUGCAGUGGUUCUUUGUAGUGCUGGUGUUGACGGGCCCAUUUGUAAUUCCUUCGAUAUAAGGGGAAAAAAUCCUCAAAACAUCUAAAACAAGCCAGAAAACCGUGGUGUCUUUUUCUGCAGGGAAGAAACGUGGAGAUAUUUUUACAGCGUUCUAGGAUCCGGGAGCAUACAGACAUAAUUCAAAGCUGUUGUCGAUUGAGUUGAUCGAAAGCAAAAAAAGAAAACUCGGCCAGAUAAAUUAAUGAGCUCACCACCAUUUGUUUGGUUUAAACUAUUUUUGCAGCUAGCCAACAAUCGGCCGUUGCCAUCUGCUAAAAAAAACAAAUCAACUGUUGCAUCAGAGAUCAUCAGACCACGAGUAUUUAACCAAAAACUACCACAUUUGCCGGAAACGUGACGGAAAACUACCACUCUACGUUUUUGUACGAAAAACUACCAAAUUUUUCCUAAACCGUGACAAAAAAACUACCAACUCGCGAAAAUGCUCGCUUCGCCCGCGCUAACCCCGUUUCUGACCGGUUGGGCCCGUGAACAGUUGCCACGCGGGAUAACGGGCGGCCGGCGCGCGUUGACGGCCGUUAACGGCGCGUCCGCUGUCGGAACAGCGGCUGUCGGUCGGCUGAUAAGUGAGCGAGCGAGCUCAGCCACUCACUUAUUCUCUUCCUCCUCGCUCGCUCUCACUCAUCCUCAUCCUCUCCCCUCUCCCUGGUGCUGUGAGCUAGGUUAGCCUAUCGCUGUCGCCCCGCGGCCAUUGCUGUCGGUAGAAGUUGAGGAUGCCAUCCUGGAAUGACGAGGAGAGCUCGGACGAGGACAUCAACAUGGUUUCAAUGGAUCCUCAGCUCUUUGUAAGUGCAUAAUGGUGGAACAGAGUUAGGGUUAGGGUUAGUUCAUCCAAGUUGGAGAUUCCAAGUUGCUUUUGGUUUGAUUCGAAGUUUCUUUUGCAGGAAACCCCUGACACUGUGGUGGAACCAUUUUUCUGUGGUUCUUACACUGAAUCUGAGCCGACGUGCAUGAUGCAUCAUCAGAGGCCGAAGAAGAUGGUGGCUUUUGAAGGUGCUUUGACUGGGAGGCGAUUCCUGGGUUGUCCUGUGCAGCAGGUAUUAAAUCUUGAACGCUAACUUGUUUUGCUGGUGGAGAUGUGUGAUGUGUUUUGCUGCUGGAGAUGUGUGGUGCAGCAUGUGGUGCAGAGAUGUGUGAUGUGUACAGAUGUGUGUUGUAGUUUAGAACUGAAACUUGAAAGUGCCAUACAAUGGAAGCUAUAUGUGAAAAUAGAUCUUUAGUUAACUGAAUUCAAUACAUGACUGAACCUGAGAACACCUACAUGCAGAGAUCUUUAGUGUACUGUGAACUGAAUAUAUUAGUUAGGUGUUUACUGAAUAUAGUUGUUAACUAAAAGAACAGAGUUAAAUGAAUUUAUAUUUACUGCUUAAUAUAGCUAUUAACUGAAUUUAUCUCUGAUGCCAAGUCAGGUGUUGUGUGCUUACUAUGAAAGAAUUAUGUUUGCAUAAUUCAGAGAGCAUAUUGAUGUAGGUGUGAACUUUGGUUAUCUGUACUUAGUUUGUUACUAAGUGAUUUGUGCUUAAUUAUAAAUAAUUGCUUCUGUAGGAUGUAGGUGUGAACUGUGGGGUUGUGGAGUGGGUGGAUGGUCCUUGGCCAGAGAUUCUACAAAGGUGCCUAACAAGGAUUUGGGACAUGUACCAUGAGCAGAACUUGGGGAGGGUGAAGGACAAACAAGCCCAUGAGAAAGAGGUGGCCAGGCUACAGAAGGAAAUUGAUUUCCUGUCAAACAACUACAGCCAGUUGGUGGAAGAUGUAUCCAAGCUUUUUGACUAUCAAGAUGGCAAGAUGUCUCAUGACAUGGACUAUACCAGUCAGGCAAUCAAUGAUCUAAAUGCAAAGAAGAAACAACUUGAGGAUCAAGCAAAGAUUGAGAUAAGUAUGAAAAAGAUGAAGCUUGCCAAGGAGAAAAGGUGCAUUCUUCAAAGCCAAGCAGAUAUCAUUCAGAACAUGAGGAAGGCCAUGAAGGAAGUGGAGGGGGACAGGGACCUACUUAAGAAAGAGAAGAAGAAGCUAGAGUAUCUGAUUGCUGAUAUGGUCAAUGCUGGGCAUGCCAGCAAAGAUAAGCUGGAGAGGAUCAAGGCAAUUAUGAAUGAGUGAAGUGCUUGGUGUGUGGGUUAAGUAAUUAGUAGGCCUAUAUAUAUAGCUGGCAUUGGAAUGUCAUGCAUGUUAGGUGUAUAUUUUGGGAAAGUUUUAUGUGCUUUCAGAAUGGUAUGAGGGAGGGAGGUACUCUUAUGGUUUAAGAACUAGUUGGUUUUAUCUAUGAUGUAAUGACUUUUAUGUUAAGACCUACUAUGCUAAGUGAGUACUCAUGCUAAGUUAAUUAAGUAAGAAUGUUUUAUCUAUGAUGAGUCUGUUUUACUCUGCAUAUAUCAUGUGUGGAUAACUGACAGUAGUGACAUAGUUGGAAGUAGAAAGCAGCAAGUAACAUAUAUAGCAAGUAGCUUAGAUAGUCUGACAAAUAACUUAACAUAUGUAGCAAGUAGCAACUAACAUAUAUAGAUAAUCUGACAUAGAUAGAUAGUACUACCAUUCAUAGUCUGACAUAGAUAGCAACUAGUAGUAGAUAGUGCCUGACAUAGAUAGCAAGUAGAUAGUGCUGACGAAACUGAACCUAGGAACUUACUGAACUUACGAAAGUUCAGGACUGAAGAAACUGAAUCUUUUUGCACUGAACUAACUGAAGGCAGCACUUCACUCCUCCUUCUUCAGCAUCUUCAGGCGCUGGGAGCGACGCACUGCAGUCACGGCCGCCCUCUUCUUCUUGCCCGGCACCGGCUCCACCACAUCUUCCUCGCCGCCAUCUUGUUCUUGCUUUACCACGACGCCGUCUGGGAGAUCGACCUCUGGCAGCACAUCCACGUGGAUUGGGAGGUUCCUGUCCCCCUCCACGGCGUCGAGGACGGGAGCCAGCAGCUGCACUUCAGGCUCGUCAUCGGAGAGGACGAUGACCUCAUCCACCUCGUCGUCACAUUCGUCAGAUGACUCCUCCUCAUCAUAUUCACUGGACUCGUCGUCAGAGAACUCGUCGUCUGACGACUCGCUGUCAGAGUCGUCAGAGGGCCCAAGGACCCAUGGAUUGCGCCUCUCCCAGUAGGCGUUGUUGAUUGGGGCUGGGAGCGCAAGGACGGCGUCGGUGACGUGGUCCGUGGCGGCCGGCGGCGUGGUGGAUGAGCGGUACAUCCACCAUCGGGCGCGUUGCCUGGGGUCGGGGGAGUGCUGCACCUCGCGCAUCGCCCACAGCAGAAGGGACGGCGGCGGGAUGGUGCGGCCGGCAGGGAAGGCACGCUGCUUUUCAGCAGCUGUCAUCACCUUCACGAGGCCGCGGGCGUGGUUCCUCAUCAUCGCUAGACUGGGGAACCAGCGCGCGAUCUUCCUGUACUGCGCGCGCAUCUCCUGGUUGUUGCCGGCGAGAGCUUCGAUGGCCGGCUGCCAGUCCAUGGCGACGGCGGUGGCAGUGGUUGUAGGCGGCGAUUUCGACAGGAGAGAGGGGGAAGCGGAGUGGGCGGUGCGAGCGGCGAGUGGGCGAGUGAGCAGAGAGCGUGGUGGGUGGACACGUAAUAAAUUCGUAGAAUCCGAAACGGCUGGGUUUACUCAACGCACGCUCACCACGAUGGCGGCUGCAACGCACGCUGAACAGACGACGUGGUGGGCAACAUAUAAUAAGUUUGGCCGAUGCUAGUCAAACAAAUGACUAGCACUAGCCCAUUGGUAUUGAACGCAUGAUUACAACCAACUGGUCCUGGGUUCGAGCCCCAGGCUAGACAUUUUUUUGUGCAUAUUUUUUUUAAAAAAUGAAUUUGGCAGUCACUUCUGAACUAUAGAAACGGCAAAGUAAAACAAAAAAGAAAUUAAAACAAUUAAAACAUGCACCUAAACUGCACAAAUGGCAAAGUAAAACAAAUAAAACAAAACACUAGCACUUAACCCAUUGGUAUUGGGCACAAAUAAGUAGCAACCAUACAUUCAACAUUGCACACAAGUUCACAUGUCUGAAUUUAAGCAGUCUAAUAGCAGAGCACAAACUUAGUACCAUACAAUCAAACUAAGUAGCAGAACACAAACUUAGUAACAGAGUUUCAAUGGUUUCCACUAGCACUAAAAUAUAGUGCAAACUUGCUAGGGGGUUUCCUCUUCCUCUUGCCUGCUAAUAUCCCUGGUUCUGCAGUGGAUGCUCUUGGUGCAUUGAAUGUUCUUGUUGAUGCUGAUCCUCUUGGAGCUCUUGUUGAUGCUGAUCCUGGUGGAGGUGCUGGUGAAGACCUGGCUGCUCCUGCAGAAACAGUUGAUGCUGAAGCUCUCUUAUCUGAUGCUAUUUUUCUGUUCCUCACUGCUUUAGGAGGUGGAGCAGAUGAGGCUGGCAUCUGUGAAGUUUGGUGUUGAUGUGGUGGUUCUGGAGGUGGGUGACUAGCACUAGAGGAACCCCUAAAAAUUUCUCUAUUCUCCUGCAUGACAGAAUUAAGAUAGUUAGUACAUAGAGCAGACCUAAAAUAAUUAAACAACUAUUAACUAAACAAAGAAUGCAACAUUUUUGAAUGACCUGGUGUAAGUUCUUUCUCAUCUGAAGACUUGGGUUUAGAGCUUUCCCACAGUAAGUAAAUCUAUGGCCCUGUAGACCACAAUUGCUGCAUGUAAUUGUUCCCAUCCUGCUUGUGUCUUUUGGUGCAGGCACCUCAAACUGGCCCUUUCUCCUGGCUGUUUGUUUCUUUCCUGUUUUUUCUUUGAACACUGGUGGCUCAAUAUCCUGAGUAUGGGUGUCAGGACAGAAUUUAGGACCAGGGACAGGGUACACUAUGUCUUUGUAUGCUUCAAUAUAUAGUGAUUUUUUGAAAAAUUCAUGCACAUAGUCCUCUGGGUGCAUGUGAAUCUUGCUCAUUGCUGCUAUUGCAUGACUGCAUGUCACACCUGUCAUGUCCGACCUCCUGCAGUCACAUGAGUUAGUAGCUAGGUUGACACAGUACUGAUUUUCCUUACUAGACACUUGCCAAAUGUCAGGACCAGCCUUAUGUGCCUCACAAAAUUUGGCAUACUUCUUAUUCUCCUCUAGUUUCUCUGAAUAGUUGGGUGUGAUCAUCCACCUGUUGUUCUCUGUUUUUUCCCUGGUCUUCUGCUUUUUGAUCAUCUGCUUAGUCCUUAUGUGACGUCCGGAUAAUUAAGCUACAGUAAACCCAUGUUAAUGGUGCCAUGUCAUCACUCUUACUAUUACUAAUCCCCCUUUGCAUUCAAACACAGUUCAAAUUCCAAAUUCAAAUUAAAGUCAAAAUUUAAAAUUCUCAAACAUGCAAACUAAAAUGUGCAAAGUGUGGCAAAUAUUGCAUAACUAAUUAUGGCCGUGAACCAACAUCUUUGCGAAGUGGUUUAAUGCCCUUAACUAAUUAAAACAGGGGCUAAAAGCAAUUAUUAAAUGCCUUUAAUAAUAAAGCAAAUACAAAUCUAUUUUAUUAUAGUGUUAAACUUUUGUGGCAGUGGCCUAAUUAUUACUACUAAUUUAGAUGCUAAAAAUUAUGUUUUACAAAACUAAAAUAAGUAAAUAAAAUGAAACUAAAAGGAAAAUAGAAAUGUAAUUAAAAAAAGACAAGAGAUCCAAAAGGUUAAAUAAAUAAGAGAAGCCCCUGGGCCUCGGCCCAGCUCAGCCAGCUGGCCCACCUAGCCCCCACCGGUCGCCUACUCCCCAUGUUCCCCUGGCGUGGUCGCAACAGGAGCGACGCCCCGCCGAACCACCUCGUCGGCGUCGGCGAGGGGAUAAGGCAGGCGCCCUGCCCCUCUCGGCCUUGUCAGCUCCACUUUCCCUGCGCAGAUAUUUUUCCCACGCCCCCUCUCUCCCUCGUCACUCCCUCGCGGUCCAGAUCCACCUCGUAGUGCGCCCGCGUCGCCGGCCAUCUUGUCCUACUGCGGCUACCAUGCCCUCCCCCCACACCGCCUAGGACCGCGUCCGUCCGCUUCGUCGUCUUUCGCUGCAUCAACUGGUGCCACCCGUUGGAGCUCCUCACGCUGCAGCGCCGGAUCGAAGCUUCUUCCUCCUCGGGUCGCCGACGAACCACGACGACGCCGGCCACCUCUGCUGCUCCUAAGCCACUCGAUGGGCCUCCUUGCGCCUGCUCGGUGAGCACCACCUCGUUCCCCCUUUCCCUCGUCGCCGUAGUCGCCGUAGCACCGUUACCCGCGAGCUUCGGCUCCGCAGUCCGCCGUGGCCGGAGCUCUCCUCCCGCACGCGCUCGCACACCGUCCGCCCCUGCGUCCACGCUGAAGUACGCGCCCUGCAGCGCCUCUUCCGCGGCCCGUCUCUGACGCCCCGUGCCCGCCCACUGUUGCCUACUGCCGCUGCGUUGUGGUCGGCGCCGGAGCCGUGGCCGCGCUCACCCCGUGCCACUGCUCGCGCCGCGGCCGUCCACGCCUCGCGUCCGUCCCACCUUGCGCCCAGCAUGCGCGGCCGUGUGCAUGCCGCUUGCUUCGCUGCUCCCGCGCCGCUCCUCGCUGACCAGCGCCGUGGCCGGCCUCUGCCGUGCUCACGCGCAUGUGCACCCGUCUGCCCGCUGUCUUUUGUGCACGCCUGCACUGCUCCCUGCUAGCUCCGCUGUUGUUGCUGAUUUGCUGAUGCUGCUGCCACUUCCCGCGCCGGCGUACGCCUCCGCCCGCCUGCGUGUGUGCCCCGUCGUAGGCUCGUAGCCAGGCCACGCCCACGCGCGGCUGCCGCCGCUUGUCACCAUGCAACGCCGCGCCCCGCGCCCAGCUCGUAUGCAUGCCGCUGCUGCUCUACUGAAUCUACUAUUGCUACUACCUACUGUAGCUAUUACUAGUAAGCUUUUCUAUUUCUACACUGACUAGCCCUCUAAACAGCCCCUAAACUGUGGCUAAACACUGUUAACAGGAGCAAGAAUAAUAUUUCUAGGUAGUACACUUGUCAAAGCUCAAAUGUUUUCAUUGGACCAAAUCAAUUUGAUGCAUGGAUCAAUUCCUAUAAAAAUCACAAAAUGCUAUCUUUUCUAAAUAGAGAACAGAAUUAACCCCUAGCACUAUGUAUGCAUGUGUUGUGUGUACAGCGCGCGUGUGUGUAGUGCAUGUGUGGUGUGUGUGUGCGCGCGCGCGAGCGCGCGUGCGUGAGUGUGUGUGGUGUGUGUGGCCAGCUGUGCCACAGCCGUGUGUGGCCGGUCCUGCUAGUUAGGAGUAGUUUAAUUAGUAGGAGUAGUAGUUAAUUAGUCUAAUAGUAGAUGACAUGUGGAUCCCCACUUCUAAAUUAACUAGUUAAAUAAACCUAUUAAAAUACUAGUCAAUGAUAGGUGGACCCCCUCUAAUUAUCCGCUUAAAAGAAAAUGUUGAAUAUGUGUCAAUGACGCCUGGGCCCGAUCUGCAGUUUUGACCAAUCAACAGUCAAAUAAUUGACUGUUGACUAGAGUGUUGACUGAGUCAACUGGACCCUUUGGUCCCACCUGUCAUUCACUAUGGCUAGCUCACGAUGGGUAUAGAAAGUAUAUCCUGUUUUUAUUUUCGAAUUAUAAUAAAUUCAGAAUUAAAAAAUCAUUUAAAGCUUAAUUUAAUAUAAAGUAAACUGUACCUCAGAUGAAAAAACUUUGUACAUGAAAGUUGCUCAGAACGACGAGACGAAUCCGGAUACGCAGUAUGUUCGUCCGUCACAUAUCCCUAACAUAGCGAACACACGACUUUCCCUCUCCGGUUCAUCUGCCCGAAAACGCGAAACACCGGGAAUACUUUCCCGGAUGUUUCCCCCCUUCGCCGGUAUCGUCUAUCCCUACGUUAGGUCACCCCUAGCACAACGUAUUGCCGCGUCUUGCUUUGUGUUACAUUUGAUUGCUCUGUUAUUUAUUGUGUUCCCCCUCCGUUACUCAUUUUUGGUAGACUCCGAGACCGCUGCCGAUGUCCGUGUGUUCGACUACAUCGAAGAUGACCCCUCCUUCUUGCCAGAGCAACCAGGCAAGCCCUCCCUUGAUCACCAGAUAUCGCCUACUCUCUUUCUACUGCUUGCAUUAGAGUAGCGUAGCAUGUUACUGCUUUCCGUUAAUCCUAUUCUGAUGCAUAGCCUGUCCUUGCUACUACUGUUGUUACCUUUACCUGCAAUCCCAAUGCUUAGUAUAGGAUGCUAGUGUUCCAUCAGUGGCCCUACACUCUUGUCUGUCUGCCAUGCUAUACUACUGGACCGUGAUCACUUCGGGAGGUGAUCACGGGCAUAUACUAUAUACUUUACACCGUUACAUUACCGGUGAUACUGUCUGGAGAUGGGGGCUGAAGGGGCAGGUGGCUCCAUCCAGGUAGUGGUGGGCCUGAGUUCCCGACGGCCCCCGACUGUUACUUUGUGGCGGAGCGGCAGGGCAGGUUGAGACCACCUAGGAGAGAGGUGGGCCUGGCCCUGAUCGGCGUUCGCGAAUACUUAAACACGCUUAACGAGAUCUUGGUAUUUGAUCUGAGUCUGGCCACUGGCUUAUAUGCACUAACCAUCUACGUGGGGACAGUUAUGGGCACUCGACGUCGUGGUAUCAGCCGAAGCCUUCGUGACGUCAGCGACUGAGUGGCGCGCGCCGGAUUGGACCGUAAGCCUGCUCUUGUAUUAAGGGGGCUAGUUUUGCUUCCGGUCGCGUACGCAACGUGCAGGUGUGCAAUGGGCGAUGGGCCCAGACCCUUGCGCCAUAGGAUUUAGACCGGCGUGCUGACCUUUCUGUUGUGCCUAGGUAGGGCUACGACGUGUUGAUCUUCCGAGGCCGGGCAUGACUCAGGAAAGUGUGUCCGGCCAAAUGGGAUCGAGCGUGUUGGGUUAUGUGGUGCACCCCUGCAGGGAAGUUAAUCUAUUCGAAUAACCGUGAUCUUCGGUAACAGGAUGACUUAGAGUUGUACCUUGACCUUAUGACAACUAGAACCGGAUACUUAAUAAAAUACAACCUUCAAAGUGCCAGAUACAACCGGUGGUCGCUCUCUCACAGGGCGACGAGGGGAGGAUCAUCGGUUAGGAUUAUGCUAUGCGAUGCUACUUGGAGGACUUCAGUCUACUCUCUUCUACAUGCUGCAAGAUGGAGGUGGCCAGAAGUGUAGUCUUCGACAGGAUUAGCUAUCCCCCUCUUAUUCUGGCUUUCUGCAGUUCAGUCCACCGAUAUGGUCCUUUACACUUUUACCCAUGCAUAUGUAGUGUAGCUCCUUGCUUGCGAGUACUUUGGAUGAGUACUCACGGUUGCUUUCUCCCUCUUUUCCCCCUAUCCCUUCUACCUGGUUUUCGCAACCAGAUGUUGGAGCCCAGGAGCCAGACGCCACCUUCGACGAUGACUCCUACUACACCGGAGGUGCCUACUACUACGUGCUGCCCGCUGACGACGAUCAGGAGUAGUUUAGGAGGAUCCCAGGCAGGAGGCAUGCGCUUCUUUCGAUCUGUAUCCCCGUUUGUGCUAGCCUUCUUAAGGCAAACUUGUUUAACUUAUGUCUGUACUCAGGUAUUGUUGCUUCCACUGACUCUUGUGCCUUCGAGCAUUUGUAUUCGAGCCUUCGAGGCCCCUGGCUUGUAAUAUAAAGCUUGUAUUAUUUUAAUUUGUGUCUAGAGUUGUGUUGUGAUAUCUUCCCGUGAGUUCCUGAUCUUGGUCGUACACAUUUGCGUGCAUGAUUAGUGUACGGUCAAAUCGGGGACGUCACACCUUAUUCCUUCAAACAUAGUUCUAAUUGGUUUGGCCCUAACAUCAAGGAUCAUUUUGUUGAAAACCUCACUAAGGUUGUUCACAACAAGAUCAGUUUUGCAAUUGUAAUCCAUUGAAGACCUACACCAAGUCUCCUUUUGAAUUUUUGUAAGCCACUUCCAGGCAUCCUCACACUCUACUUUAAGCUCUGCCAUUGCUAAUUCAUGGCCAUGUUUGGUGAAUGAGUAGCUAGCCUUAUCUACUAGCUUUUUUAGUUCUGCUCCUCUGAAACCAGCUGACUGAAAAUUUGCAUAGAUGUGCCUGAGGCAGUAUCUCUGAGGGGAAUCAGGGAACACCUCAUUUAUAGCCUUAAGAAGACCCUGAUUGUAAAUUAAUAACCAUGGUCAUGAACAAAAACAAAUAAAGCCAGUAAUAACUAUAUUUAUCUGAACUACUGGCUAAGAUAGGUUGCAUACCUUUUGCCUGUCAGAAAUAAUGGUGUAGGUUCCAAAUUUGCUUCCACUUCCAAUGCAACAUCUUAGCUGGGUUAAGAACCAUGUCCAACUUUCUGAAUCUUCCUUACCAACCACACCAAAGGCUAUGGGGUAGAUGUUGUUGUUGCCAUCUCUUCCUGUGGCUGCAAGAAUUUGCUGUCCAGUGGUUAGCUUGAUGAAGCAACCAUCAAGCCCUGCAUCCAUACCCAAAUUAGCUACCAAAAAAUUACAACAAGAUAUUUUGAACAAAAUGCAGUUAUAUAUUUACCUAUAAAGGGCCUGCAACCAUUAAAAAAUCCUUGCUUUGAUGCAUGCAAGCAGUAGAACAUGUACUUAAAUCUAGGAGUUGGGGCAGGGUUUUCUGGGUCCUCAAAUGUUGUAACUACACACCUGCUACCAGGGUUUGUGUCAAGAACUGCUUGUAGGUAGUCCCUCAGUCUAUAGUAGUGCUCCUUCUGGUCACCUUGUACAACCUUAAUAGCCUUCCUCCUUGCCCUAUAGGCCACACUCUUUGAUACAUCAACUGAAAACUUGACUUUGCUGUUUUUAAUUAGUGAAUCCACAGGUGCUCUAGGAUCUGCUCUAAGAGAAGGCUCAACUGCUUUGGAAAGCCACUUUGUAGUAACCUUUGUGUUCUCUGCUGAUGCUGGACAAGUGUGCUCCAUGUUACACUUCUUAAUGCAAAAUGUUCUUUCAUGAGCUAUCCUGGAGGCACACAUGUAAAAUUCACAUCCAUGCUCUCUCUGUGAACACCAAACAAUAAUUCUUGUUGGAGUGUUCCUGUGGUAGUGAAAAGACCUCAAAGUCCUUAUAUAAAAAUCUCUUAAUGCUUCUCUGAACUGGCAAACAGAAUCAAAACACAAGCUCUUGCACAAGAGUAAAUGUGAAUUGGGAAUUGAAGGGUCAAAAUAUACCCUUUCCUUCAUCUUUUUCUUACUACUCUUUGUCUUUGGCUUCUUCAUGAUGUAUGAUAGUUCAACUUCAUCUUCUUCUUCCUCAUCACUUAUGCCUGCAUCACCAGCAAAACAAAACUCAUCUGCUUCAGGAAACCAAUCUUCAAAACGUUUUUUCUCUACCUCAUUGUGACAUCUGCUAGUUGGCCCAGGGUUCUUCACAUGUUUCACAAUAGCAGUACUUUGCAAUGUUGUUUCCUCUUGAGAGGCACACUCUAUUUCCAUUUGUUGAAUAGCUUCAGCACUCCCAUCUGAAUGAACUGAAUCAGCAGAACAAAAUUCAGACACUUCAGUGUCUCCUUCAAAGUGGUUCAAAUCUGCCUCUCUUUGAAUCCUGCUCCGCUCAAGCUGAGCCUUUCUAUCAUCUAUCUCAUUCUGAAGCUCAGAUUGCUCCACAACCUUUUGCACACAGUAACUCUCUUGAGUGUUCAUGUAAUUCUGAAUAGCCUGUGUGCUUAUUCCAGGUUCAACAUCUCUCACAACCUUUAUGUUCACAACAUUAACAUAAUUAACAAACUCCAACAUUUCAUGAACACUAGCUUCAUUACCUAAAUACUUUACUCUUUCAGAUCCAAUUUCCUCCUCCUUCACAUAGUACAUGUAAUCACUCUGUCCAUACCCUUCACUAGCAAUGAGUGAUUGUAGAGUAACAAAAGAUAUAUCUGACUCAUAUAUACCCCUUUUCACAGGGUUUCUUCCUUCUAAAUGAAACCAUAUCUUUCACUUCUUGUCAGCAAAACUGCAGAAAUAGGUGCUCAUGAAUUGAAUUGAAAAUGAUAGAGCUACAAGUGCAAUACAGUUUACUACACAACAAUCUGUAACAAACACAUCUUACUAAUUUGCCAGAUUGAAGCAGCUAACCAAUUCAUGAGCAGCUAACCAAAUUGACAGAUUGAAGCAGCUAACCUAGCAGAUGAUAUUUCCAUACCUGCAACCCAUUGGCGAUGACUGGGCGAGCUGUGCCUCCUGCUGCUGCGAGCCGGCCUGCGUCGAGAAGCUGGUGCUCCCCAACCAAUUGUCGACUGAGCCCGCAGCGUCCAAACUUGUGCCGCCACCGCCAGCGUCGCCGCCGCCGCCGCCACCACCCAUAUCGCCGACGCCCCCCUCCGGAACCACCGCCGCCAUCGUCGUCGUCGCCGCCGCCACCUAGUUCAGAGAGAGGGAGAGGACGGAGAGAGUACAACGAGAGGGGAGAGGAUCAGAUCUUGACCCAUUGGCCGACCGACAGUCGCCGUUCCGACAGCGGACACGCCGUUAACAGCCGUCAACGUGCGCCGGCCGCCCGUUAGCCCGCGUGGCAACUGUUCGCGGGCCCAACCGGUCAGAAACGGGGUUAGCGCGGGCGAAGCGAGCGUUUUCGCGAGUUGGUAGUUUUUUGUCACGGUUUAGGAAAAAUUUGAUAGUUUUUCGCACAAAAAGUAGAGUGGUAGUUUUCCGUCACGUUUCCGGCAAAUGUGGUAGUUUUUGGUUAAAUACUCUCAGACCACAGAUCCCAAUAGUCUCGAGUUCUCGAGAUCUUUUCUUCUUCUUCUGAAAAGUGUUCGAGAUCAUUUUGCCACGCGAUA